UUACGGCCAUAUCACGUUGAAACACAGGUUCACGUUCGAACGCAGAAGUGAAGCAACGUCGAGCCUGGUCCUUACUUAGAUGGGUGGCCGCGUGGGAAUAUCACGGGCUGUAAG
Non-coding RNA from Acanthosepion pharaonis, 114 nucleotides. The record is from the annotation of a GenBank genome assembly. Lineage: Eukaryota; Metazoa; Mollusca; Cephalopoda; Sepiida; Sepiidae.